RNAcentral lists this ribosomal RNA (565 nucleotides) under uncultured bacterium. RNAcentral's name for it is "bacterial SSU rRNA". It matches the Rfam family "Bacterial small subunit ribosomal RNA", at positions 337 to 916 of the family's 1533-position model. The record is from RNAcentral.
UCCUACGGGAGGCAGCAGUGGGGAAUUUUCCGCAAUGGGCGAAAGCCUGACGGAGCAACGCCGCGUGAGGGACGAAGGCCUCUGGGCUGUAAACCUCUUUUCUCAAGGAAGAAGAUAUGACGGUACUUGAGGAAUAAGCCACGGCUAAUUCCGUGCCAGCAGCCGCGGUAAUACGGGAGUGGCAAGCGUUAUCCGGAAUUAUUGGGCGUAAAGCGUCCGCAGGCGGCCUUUCAAGUCUGCUGUUAAAGCGUGGAGCUUAACUCCAUUAUGGCAGUGGAAACUGAUUGGCUUGAGUAUGGUAGGGGCAGAGGGAAUUCCCGGUGUAGCGGUGAAAUGCGUAGAUAUCGGGAAGAACACCAGUGGCGAAGGCGCUCUGCUGGGCCAUUACUGACGCUCAUGGACGAAAGCCAGGGGAGCGAAAGGGAUUAGAUACCCCUGUAGUCCUGGCCGUAGACGAUGAACACUAGGUGUCGGGGGAAUCGACCCCUUCGGUGUCGUAGCUAACGCGUUAAGUGUUCCGCCUGGGGAGUACGCACGCAAGUGUGAAACUCAAAUGAAUUGACGG